Molecule: long non-coding RNA, 1495 nt
Filed under: Oryctolagus cuniculus (rabbit)
Lineage: Eukaryota; Metazoa; Chordata; Mammalia; Lagomorpha; Leporidae
Description: lncRNA (ENSOCUG00000038192.1)
Source: RNAcentral
CCCCUGUGGAGAGGAUCCGGGGAUAAAUCUCAGCUUAUUUAGGAGCGUGAUCUACAUUUAUUGCACUUAAUGUGAUCUCUAACGUGUCCAAAAGGGGCCCAUAAAUCGCAAUCUGGCCGGCGCUGCCAGCAGGGCCCCGGGCUGGCCCCUCCCCGGCUGGGGCGAGCUGCCGUGAGUUCCUAGGUCUGUUUGCUCCCCGGGCCCUGGGGCUCCCGCCCUGGCCCGCGCAGCCGGAGCCGCGUGCCCCGUGAGGACCCUGCCCACGCGGACCCGGCCUCUGUCGAGACCAAACCCAGCCAGGCAACUGCAAGCAUCCUCUCCAGGCUGGGUGUGAAAAGGCUUCUAUUUCGCCCUUGCCGCGCUGUAGGGACAGAGGACACAGGUGACCCGAGCCUCCCAAGGUCAAAGGCAGAGGAGGGAGAGGCGGAUUCUAAGAGCACCGUGGUCACUGGGAUGUCUAUAAACACACUUCUCUGUCUACACAAUAGUGGGGAGUCUGUGGUAUGGACAACCCUCCAUGGUUUACAAGGCAUGUCCCCACCCAGCCUUCCCACACCCCAGAAGACACAAACAAGGGCCCUGGGAGACAGGCACCACUUGUUCACAUUCACAGGGCUAAUGGACAGCGAAGCUGGGCUUGGGAUGUGUGGCACUUGAAUGAACCCUGCAAAGACGCAGGUGUGUGUGUGUGUGUGUGUGUGCAGUGCACAGGCACUGGCACCUGCGGGAGCACUCCCGGCAGAGAUCCCGAAAACACUCGAGGCCACCCUGUGCAUGUUUAAGUCCCUUUUUCCUCCUUUUCUCCCAGCUCAGAGAAGCCGUGCCUGGCUAUUAGGAGCAUGUGCCUAGCUCAGCCUGUGUCUCGAGAGUGCUUUUGGGGCUGAGUGGGCAAGGGGUGGGUCCAUUCUGGGAAUGAUAAAAGCAGCUUCCGGAGCAGCUCUGACAUCACAGGUCUCUCUCUGCUCGGGGUCUGACCAUAGCCUCAGCCUCUGUCUAGCUAUCUGCCCAGCCCCAAGAGACAGCGCUAUCACCUGUCUGUGCACACACGUGCUGGGGUGCAAGGUUAAGCUGCCAAGGACCCAGCAGAGCUGCUGUGAGCAUCGGGACGGACACAGCAGGUGGAGCGGCCUGGGUUUUCCUCUGGCGAAUUUCUGUAGAUGGUGUCGCGUCCGCACUGAGGGACACCAUUGUUCUUGGAAGAGCGGUUGCUGAGCCACAGGCCGUGUGCCCCUCUCCGAGGCUCCUGCAGUGGAAGGUAAGCUCAGAGCCACCCCGGCAGGGCUGCACGGGGCAGGGGCGGCGGGGGUGGGGGUGGCUGCGCCUCCUUCCUGCCCGGCCACACAGGGGUGGGCCAGCGCCUCCUCCCUGCCUGGCCGGGCUGGGCGCUUGCCACCCCUGCGACUCCGGGGCCCAUUCCAGUCUCCUCUCCCUGCUGUGUUUGAGAACUGUCAGUGGAACGAAUAAAUGACCUGUGUUUAGAUCCCUGCUGCGCUGG